Molecule: non-coding RNA, 180 nt
Filed under: Propionispora sp. 2/2-37
Lineage: Bacteria; Bacillati; Bacillota; Negativicutes; Selenomonadales; Sporomusaceae
Also listed under: 1 other name
Source: RNAcentral
AUUACAUAACAUGAAGCAGGUGCCCAUUAGGGCUUAAUAGGGAAGUCCGGUGAUAAGCCGGCGCGGUCCCGCCACUGUAUUGGGGAACAAGCUCAAGAUAUACCACUGGAAGAGGUUCCGGGAAGGUUUGAGUGCGUUAUGAUCCAGAGCCAGGAGAACUGCCUGUUUGACAGUCACCGU